ACGCUGGCGGCAUGCUUUACACAUGCAAGUCGAACGGCAGCGCGGGCUUCGGCCUGGCGGCGAGUGGCGAACGGGUGAGUAAUGCAUCGGAACGUGCCCAGUAGUGGGGGAUAGCCCGGCGAAAGCCGGAUUAAUACCGCAUACGACCUGAGGGUGAAAGCGGGGGACCGAAAGGCCUCGCGCUAUUGGAGCGGCCGAUGUCGGAUUAGCUAGUUGGUGGGGUAAAGGCUUACCAAGGCGACCAUCCGUAGCUGGUCUGAGAGGACGACCAGCCACACUGGGACUGAGACACGGCCCAGACUCCUACGGGAGGCAGCAGUGGGGAAUUUUGGACAAUGGGGGCAACCCUGAUCCAGCCAUGCCGCGUGCGGGAAGAAGGCCUUCGAGUUGUAAACCGCUUUUGUUCGGGAAGAAAUCCUCUGGGCUAAUACCCCGGGGGGAUGACGGUACCGGAAGAAUAAGCACCGGCUAACUACGUGCCAGCAGCCGCGGCAAUACCUACGGUGCGAGCGUUAAUCGGAAUUACUGGGCGUAAAGCGUGCGCAGGCGGUUGUGCAAGACAGAUGUGAAAUCCCCGGGCUUAACCUGGGAACUGCAUUUGUGACUGCAUGGCUAGAAUGCCGC
RNAcentral lists this ribosomal RNA (624 nucleotides) under uncultured Caldimonas sp. RNAcentral's name for it is "bacterial SSU rRNA". It matches the Rfam family "Bacterial small subunit ribosomal RNA", at positions 33 to 652 of the family's 1533-position model. Lineage: Bacteria; Pseudomonadati; Pseudomonadota; Betaproteobacteria; Burkholderiales; Sphaerotilaceae. The record is from RNAcentral.